AAGAAAAGAAAAAAUUCAGGAUAUCCUUUAUCCAGGUGCUUGGAUAAAAGUUUAUUGAGUUCAGGCCGGGUGCGUGAGCCAUGGGGCCGGGUCAGUUACUCCUUAAGUAUGCAAAAGCACUCAACUAAAAAACACCUCAGGGGAUCAUGCCCCCGGGUGGUCUUUAAAGGAAAUGGGCUACUUUCCUAUACUGGAAAAAAACAUCUGACAGAAAAAAAGAUGCUCUAGAGUAGCUGAAAAUAAAAUGCCUUGCUAAUGCAGCACCUGAUGAAGAAAUAAGAUGAAGUGUAACAUUUUACUGAGGCCAUGAUAUCCCAGCAUAAGGCAGAGUUUUAAAUCAUGUUUCUCAACAGAGGGAGGAGUCGGGGGCAAGGAAGGACCAUCGGAAUCACUAGAGACAUUUAAAAUACAGUCGGCCCUCCUUAUCCAUGGGUUCUGCAUCCAUGGAUUCAAC
This 454-nucleotide non-coding RNA is filed under the name Pongo abelii (Sumatran orangutan). Lineage: Eukaryota; Metazoa; Chordata; Mammalia; Primates; Hominidae. The record is from RNAcentral.